RNAcentral lists this ribosomal RNA (142 nucleotides) under uncultured eukaryote. RNAcentral describes it as "partial 18S ribosomal RNA". It matches the Rfam family "Eukaryotic small subunit ribosomal RNA", at positions 1299 to 1458 of the family's 1831-position model. The record is from RNAcentral.
UGGUGGAGUGAUUUGUCUGGUUAAUUCCGUUAACGAACGAGACCGCUACUUACUAAAUAGUUUAGUUAGUGAUUUUCUACUAGCAGGAACUUCUUAGAAGGACGUGCAUUCUAUUAGAUGCAGGAGGAUAGCGGCAAUAACA